Molecule: transfer RNA, 68 nt
Filed under: unidentified
Description: Cupuladria biporosa tRNA-Ala
Source: RNAcentral
GAUAAUAUACUUUAACAAAAAGCAUCCAUUUGCACUGGAAAAUUGAGAUAUAUACACCUCUAUUAUCA